UAACACGUGGAUAAUCUGCCCUGAGGUGGGGAAUAACCCCGGGAAACUGGGGAUAAUGCCCCAUAGGUCACAGAUGCUGGAAUGCCCUGUGGCUCAAAGGUCCGCCGCCUCAGGAUGAGUCUGCGGCCGAUUAGGUUGUUGUUGGGGUAAUGGCCCAACAAGCCUGUAAUCGGUACGGGUUGUGAGAGCAAGAGCCCGGAGAUGGAUUCUGAGACACGAAUCCAGGCCCUACGGGGCGCAGCAGGCGCGAAAACUUUACAAUGCGGGAAACCGUGAUAAGGGAACCCCGAGUGCCCGUAAAUUCGGGCUGUUCACCAGUGCAAACAGCUGGUGGAGAAAGGGCCGGGCAAGACCGGUGCCAGCCGCCGCGGUAAUACCGGCGGCUCGAGUGGUGGCCACUAUUACUGGGCUUAAAGCGUCCGUAGCUGGGUUGUUAAGUCUCUGGGGAAAUCUUCCGGCUUAACCGGAAGGCGUCUCAGGGAUACUGGCAAUCUAGGGAUCGGAAGAGGUGAGGGGUACUCCAGGGGUAGGAGUGAAAUCCUGUAAUCCUUGGGGGACCACCUGUGGCGAAGGCGCCUCACCAGGACGACUCCGACAGUGAGGGACGAAAGCUGGGGGAGCAAACCGGAUUAGAUACCCGGGUAGUCCCAGCUGUAAACGAUGCGCGUUAGGUGUAUCGGUGACCACGAGUUACCGAGGUGCCGAAGGGAAACCGUGAAACGCGCCGCCUGGGAAGUACGGUCGCAAGGCUGAAACUUAA
This 760-nucleotide ribosomal RNA is filed under the name uncultured archaeon. RNAcentral's name for it is "bacterial SSU rRNA". It matches the Rfam family "Archaeal small subunit ribosomal RNA", at positions 94 to 859 of the family's 1478-position model. The record is from RNAcentral.